Molecule: non-coding RNA, 45 nt
Organism: Schistosoma mansoni
Lineage: Eukaryota; Metazoa; Platyhelminthes; Trematoda; Strigeidida; Schistosomatidae
Source: Rfam
AUCCAGCUGACGAUUCCCAAAUAGGACGAAACGCGCAUCCUGGAU